RNA transcript from Dunckerocampus dactyliophorus (ringed pipefish), 9282 nucleotides. It is a transcript of the gene named brain-specific angiogenesis inhibitor 1-associated protein 2-like, with no coding region annotated. The transcript has 15 exons. Lineage: Eukaryota; Metazoa; Chordata; Actinopteri; Syngnathiformes; Syngnathidae. The record is from RefSeq and is a predicted model, not a curated record.
CUUGUACGGAAAGCUCAUAUCUAAUAUGGUAAAAUUUUGAAAAACCGAGCUUUCGAAGUGUCCAUGAAGGUACCCCCAGGCUGCCCGCUGUAUGCAGUAGAGGAGGUGAGUUCAGUUGCAGUAGGAUUUCGGACGUACAACAUCGUUUCACCCUGUACUUCGGCCCAAAGGUUGCCUAUUUAACACAUUUCCCUCCGUUUUCCUUUUUUUUUACUCGGAUACACGUUUGGAGGAAAGCUCUUUUAUGGUCCUGGCCGAAGAUUCCACGAUGUCUCGCACCGACGAGGUUCACCGAUUGACGGAAAAUGUCUACAAGACCAUCAUGGAACAGUUCAACCCCUGCUUACGGAAUUUUGUUGCCAUGGGGAAGAACUACGAGAAGGCCCUUGCCAAUGUGACAUUUGCUGCCAAAGGCUACUUCGACGCGCUGGUGAGAAUGGGCGAGCUCGCCAGCGAGAGUCAAGGAUCCAAAGAUUUGGGGGAUGUGCUGUUCCAGAUGGCUGAGGUCCACAGACAGAUCCAAGUGCAGCUGGAGGAGAUGCUGAAAUCUUUCCACAACGAGUUGCUGUCAGAGCUGGAGAAGAAGGUAGACCUGGAUGCCCGCUACCUGACUGCCGCCCUGAAGAAGUACCAGGUGGAGCACAAAAGCAAAGGGGAGAGUCUGGAGAAGUGCCAGGGGGAACUGAAGAAACUGCGCAGGAAGAGCCAGGGCAGCAAGAACCCCUCCAAAUAUGGCGAGAAAGAGAUGCAGUUUGUGGAGACCAUCAGCAGUAAGCAGACCGAGCUGGACACCUUCAUCGCUGAAGGGUACAAGACUGCCUUGUCUGAGGAACGUCGGAGGUACUGCUUCCUGGUGGACCGCCAGUGUGCCGUGGCCAAAAACAGCAGCGCCUACCACGGCAAGGGUAAAGACCUCCUGACCCAGAAGAUCCCAGUGUGGCAGCAGGCCUGUUCGGACCCCAACAAGCUCCCAGAGAGGGCUGUGCUCUUGGCCCAGCAGAUGGGCUCGGCCAUGGGCGGUACCAGCCCCAUGCACACUUCAAAAUCCAACCUGGUCAUCUCUGACCCCAUCCCCGGAGCUCAGCCCCUUCCUGUGCCCCCGGAGCUGGCUGUAUUCAUGGGUAGCGGCCUCGGGCACCAGGCGAGGCUGAUGGGCCCCGAUGGAAUGUCCAUGGUCAACGGGACAACAGGAGUCCACGGCGAGGAAUACUGGACGGAUGGAGGGACUUUAUCCCAAGUCAGGCCUUCGUCUCCACAGACUCAGGCGCAGGUGCAGUCCCAGGCUCAGCCUCAGAGACAGGUCAGCGACGUCUACUCCAACACCCUGCCUGUGCGCAGGCCUGCACCCGCCAAGAAUAAGAACCCAGUGGGAGAGACGCGGACCCUGCCCAGGUCUAGCUCCAUGGCGGCGGGCCUGGAGAAGAACGGGCGUUCCCGUGUGCAGGCCAUCUUCUCACAUGCCGCUGGCGACAACAGCACCCUGCUGAGCUUCUCGGAGGGCGACGUCAUCACCCUGCUGGUACCCGAGGCCCGUGACGGCUGGCACUACGGGGAGAACGAGAAGAAUAAGAUGCGUGGCUGGUUUCCUUUCUCCUACACACGAGUGCUGCCUGACAGCGACGGCGAAAAGCUCAAAGUGAAUCUGCAUCAUGGGAAAAGUAGCAGCACGGGCAACUUGUUGGAGAGUGACGCAUCCCUGCCCACACCUGACUACGGCCUCACCGCCCGACUGUUGGCGCAGAGUCUAGCACAGACGCGCCCACGCCCCUACAGCAUGGCAGGCUUUGGCACUCAGCCUGCUAUUGAGGAUUAUGAUGGUCGCUUUGCCACAAGCUCUCAGCAGUGUUCUUUCUGAUUGUAUCCCCUGAGUGGCUUUGUAGUUUUGUUCCUCUUUCAAUCAAUUGUUGUACAAAAGACCUACAAAUGACUGAUGAUUAGUUGUUUUAGCUUAUGCAUGCCGUGGAGGGAUAUCAGAAGAUGUGAUACUAAAAAAAAAAAAAAAAAAGACUUUGAAUGUAUGGUGACUUUUUACAAAGGUAUUCUAAAUAAAACAUAUCUCUAUAUAUUAAUAAAUCGCCUGGUGUGACGGGAAAUCUGUUCUUUCACAUGUAUUCUUGUCUUAAUGGCUCAAAUUGGAACAGAUUUCAAUUUGAAUUGUUUCUUUUUGUCCAAACUGCUGUUGCCGCCAAAAUCCAGCAUGUCCUCCACCCGUCCUCCUUGUGUGUGUGUGAUAUACAGUGUGAAUGCCGCCUGAUCCUUGUAGUUGUAGUUGACUUUUAAAGUACUUUUGUUGUUGUAUUUGGGUGACGACACACAAUUCCAAACACCUGCCUGAUGAUCUGUUGUGACAAGCUGCACAAGCACGUCUCCAGCAUGUGGAGCAUGAAUCCAUGGAUUUUUUGUUAGCCAUCCCAUUCAUUCACUCACAGAAUGGAACCUCAAAGGUUCAACACAAUCUCUUCAUCUGCCGGUUGACCUCUGAUUUGUUUGGAUUUAGGAUACAGUGUUAGGUUCCCAGAUAGGUUCCCAAAAUAUCCCGCAAUAAGUGAAAUCCGUGAAGUAGCCAUCUUUGUUUAUUUUAUUAUUAUAUAUAUGUUAAGGCCAGUGGUCUAGUGGUUAGCAUGUUGGCCAACACAGGAACAGCCUGGAGAUCGGGAAGACCUGGGUUCGAUUCUCCCUUGGGCAUCUCUGUGUGGAGUUUGCUCCGUCAGUCAGUCCAGGGUGUACCCCGCCUGUCGCCCCGAAGUCAGCUGGGAUAGGCUCCAGCAAGCCCCGCUACCCUAAAAGAGGAGAAGCGGUAUAGAAAAUGGAUGGAUGGAUGUUUUAAGUCGUAAAAUCCCUCACAAUAUACACUUUAUACACCUUUCUCAGACAAACAAUCACAUUUUGUCACAUUCUCUCCUGUUUAAACACUCAGAAAAGUUAAAACCUUAGUUGGAAUUUUAAUGAUCAACACAAGAAGUGAUUAAGUCACUCACGCAUAUUUCACUCUUGUGACCGUGCCUUUUCGUCCUGGCACUGUAGCGCUGUGCUGUCGCGUUUUUGUAUUGUUGUUAAAACAUAUUGCUGCAGACUAACCGAAGAUUCAUUUACAAGCUAGCAAGCAAGCAAGCGAUGACACGGGAGACAUGGCAGGACGGCACGAAAGAGAUUGAAGAAAACAACGGGCAGUGCAGACAGAUGAGAGAGGGAAGAGAUAAACACUCAGCGUCUCACAGUGCAGUUCUUCUUGAAGGCCCAGGCUCGGCUUGUAACAGCGUUCAUAUGCUGUCAUAAAAAAUAAAAGGAGCGCUAAAUAAAAUCCACGAAACGGCGAAUCCUCGAAAGGCAAACCGCGAUAGAGCGAGGGAACGCUUUAAUAUUUUCAUAGGAAAUAAUGGAAGUAGAAAUACUCUGUUCCAGAGUCAAACUGUGACCAUCAUCAUGUUAUGACAACAUUUUUAACAUUCUUCACUGCCAUACAAGUGGAAAAAGAAGUUAACUGCAAAAUACAACGAGCCAGGUGGAGGACAGAAAAUGUCCACCAGACUUGAAGAUAAUUGUCAGGUAGUUUUGUUCUGUAGACUUUGCGAUCGUUAACUUCUUUUUACACUUGAAUGCCUGAGACGCAGGUCAUUAACGUUAAGACUUGAGGGUUUCGCUAUUAGGACAAGUUAUUUUCACACAUUUAAACACACACAACAAACAGUUCAAAAAAACAUUUUCUGAUAAGUUAAUAGUUUCUAGGAUGGCCACAGUUUGACCCUGGAACAGAUCAUGAUCAUUUCUGUUAGUUCUGAUGGGGAGAAAUGUUUCUAAAUCCAAAUCUUAAAAGCUCAAACACCUUUCUGGAAUAGAUUGUGUUUAACCUUUCGAUUCCAGUGCACUUUUCUGAUAAGUUCAUCUCGCAGCAGACUAACCUGCAGUGUCGUUACUAAUUGUGACCCAAUGCAUGACCUGAGAAGUGAACCACUCAAACCCAAAGGUUCUCUUUACCUUCCAGUUUGGGUCCAGAGUUGUCCCGCUUCUGAGGGAACAGGACCUCCUGACCGUUCCAUGGAGGUCUACCUCCGGCCCACCUUCACUGACGACCGAUCUGCCACCAUCUACUACUAGCGGACUGCAGUCCCCUUUUUUGGCCACUAGUGGGCCAAGAAGCAUAGGGGGAGACGGCCAAAGUCCUAUAAGGGUGCGUUCACACUUGUCAUGUCUGGUUUGGUUAUGAGCCACUCUGGUGCGUUUGCUCUGUUAGUGCGGUUCGUUUAAAACAAGCGUGAACGCAGUCAUGGGAGCCCUGGUGUGCACCAAACAAUCGGACUGUGACUGCUUCAUAGAUGGGUCUCGGUCCGCCUUCAGGUGAACGCUCGUGUGAACGCUGAUCAGACCAAAGACGCAACAAAAAGCACACAGAAACGACAAAUACGUAAGAGAAAACGUGUGACAACGGAGCUCUUGAAAAAUAUGUUUUAGAAGCUUUUGGUGAAAUUGUAAAUUGUAAAUACAGCAGAAUCUAAAAAUAACCAGCAUAGAUGGCAUUUUGGUUGGGAAAAUUUGAGUUAUGGCAUAGAAACUGCCCCGUCAAGUCUUUACUUUAUGCUUAUGUUCUUUACUGGUCCCUUGACAAAAAUACCAGUGAUAGCUAGUAGGGAUGCAACAGCACACGGUAAAAUAUGGCACCGUUCAGUCUGCCUGCACGGGACAAUCCCUUCUUACGGGCCGCGGGCUUGCAAUGCAUUUUGCACAGUCCAGGCUGGCGAAAAUCCCUCCCUGCGACAUCACGGUCCAUUUCCCACACUGUACAUAGAUAUUUGAAGUGAGGGAGGGAGUCUACCGAAAAGCAGAUGAAAAGGCAAGGUGGUCCGGCGUGGAAACGCUCUGUCGGCGAUGCGCAGAGGGUCCUUCCGGCCGAUCUCCUCGCUCCCUCAGCUGUGGUGCACUCGCUUUUGAUCGCCUCACCCGUGAAAUACGUAAACAGACAACGGAAACACGUUUCGCCUAUUAACGCUGCACUUCAGGUAAGGAAAUGACUAAAAAUAAAACAAUCACCACGCUGUUCUAACUCUACCUUCCCAAAGACAAACACUGUAAACGGGGGGUGUCCAAAGUGCGGCCCAGGGGCCAUUUUCAGCCCACAGCUUGUUCUUUGUAAUGGGACAUAUUAGAUAUUACUCUAAUUUGCUUUGCCCCCAAUAACACAAAGCUUAUAUAGUUUAUAGACGGGUACUCUGAUCAGGAUUCUAUGCUGCCGAUUCCGAUACUGAUCCUCUAUUAGUGAUAUCAGCAAUACUGAUCUUGUAGUAACUGUUAGUUUUUCAAUUUAUUUAUAAUCAGUGCUAUUGGCCAGGGGCGUGGUAUGGGCUGGGGUGGGGUUCAGGUGUCAGGACAGUUCCCAAAAAUAUGUAAUUAUCAAAAAAUUUAAGGGGGUGGCCCCCCAAUGGUCUUUUUUUUCAAGGGGCCCAGAAUUACUGGCUGCACCCCCACUAUUGGCUGCAUGAUCUGAAAAAAGGAACUAUAAAAUCACACUUGUUUGGAUGAGACGCCUGAUAGUGUAGUGUGGACAUGGGACACCAUGAGUGGACAUGGUGGACAUGGGACACAAUGACAUGGGACAAGUGAUACACGAUGAGGAUUCUGACUUCCCUUGAACAGGUGUACGUGAACUUGACCAACAGCCCCACUACUUGUGGCAUGGAUCAACAUGCAUGUGCAAAACUUAAAUCAUAUAUGAUGUCGGUGCGCUUUAACUCAGACUUCAGUCUCUUUGUACAGCGUCCCUGCUACCGACAAAUUCACAAUAUCAAGGCCUUCUUUAAGGAGACCCUCGUCCAUCGUCUGAUGGCACUCUGGCAGGGCUUGAAGUGAGAGAGCAGUCGGCGGGACCCGGUGUGGAAUCGUCGUUUACGCACAAAAAAUACACCGAAACCGUAGCCCACAAACCGAGCCGCGGCCCAACCUGUAGCGUUGCACCCCUAUUAGCUAACCACACCAAAAUGUGCAUCUUUUUAUUUUCCGCUGAUCCCAGCGUACCGAACCACAAGUGUGAACGCAGCCUAAAAUAGCUUUUCAAUUCUUUUGUGGUUAAGAUAAGCCGAUACUUUUUACUCGCAAUGCCACCACAUUAUCUCUCACACACACACACACACACACACACACGUGUUACACUGUAAAUGUGUUAUUAUUGACGUUAAUAAGCAGCAAAGAUUAUUAUUAGGAAAGGUAAGUAGAGUUUAUGAUCUGGUGAUUGCUUGCAAUAGUUGCAUAUUCCAACGUUUGGGGAGUUGUGCCUUCCAUUGUUACGUUUGUGUUUUCGUCCAGCUAGCUUGCGGGCCCACACGUCUACGUAUUUUAUAUACCGUCAAAUAUUAGCAUUUUGUUGCUUGCUUCUCGUGUAACAUUUUCUGACUUUUUUUUUGUUCUCCUUUACCUUUUUUUCCGUUCCACCGGUCUUUUCAAUGACUGUUCUUUUAAUGUUUAACUUGUCGCGUAAAGAAGUGAGGUGGAACCAUAAUGGAGUUCUUUUAUGACCGUUAUUAUUAGCUUUGAGGGAGCGGUAGCUUAUAUCAGAUAAGGCGCAGUAUUAAUAGAGCCUUUUGGUCGUCGUUCAGUAUUAUACGCUGGUCAAAGUAAGAAAUAGAUCAACCUAGCAGAGUGCUUAACAUAAAAUAUAGCAAUAGCUGGAAAGAAUUACUCCAUUGUUGAGUAGUUUACGCUGAGGGCUUUUUGAUUAUGCUUUUAUGAUUGCAUUUGUUGUUUUUUUAUAUUUUAUAUAGCUUCCACUUUGUUCAUUUCCCACUUUUGUUGUCCGUUUAUGUUAUAUACCUGUUGUGUACAGAAAGCACAUAAAUUAUCUUGUCCAAAAUAAAUCUCAGUGGACGCAAACUUCCUGCCAGUGUGUGUGGUAAUGUCGUUUUGGUGUCUUGCAAGGUUACUGGAAAGAAAUAAACAGGAGGCAUUUUUACGCCCUUUCUGACACAGCUCUCCCAUUUGUCCGGGAUUGGCACCGGGACUGGACAUAUCCAAUAGCCCGUGUUGGGGGCCCUGGCUGGGAACCCAACUCGUGUUAUCUGCACAAAACGGAGGAGUUUGUGCCGCUACACCACCAGGGCACGUAGAGUAUAAAGAUAAGGUUGGAAAAAAAUACGAGAAAAAGGUGAAAAAUUACAAGAUAUUUCCAAGGCUUUUUCUCGGCAUAGUGCAAAUUUAUUCAUGUGGCAUAACGCCUUUAUUCUCAUAUUACAGCUUUUUUGGAAAGAGUUUGCAGUUCAACAUCAUUUUCUCCAAUAAAAAAAUCGAUGUACCGUAAUGUUUAUUUUCAUUACCGCUUUUUGUCUUGUAACAAGACCAUUUUACUCAAGUUUGCGGCUUGAAAAAUAGAGCUUGAUGCACACAACAGAAGUGUUUUAUUGUCUUAUAGUGAGACGAAGCUCGUAACAUCACGAUGCUUGUAUUGUAAUACUAACGACUUUUGUAACAUUACAACUUUUACUUUGAAGUAAUACAACUUUAUUCUUGCAAUAUUGCAACUAUUUAGUGAAAAUAAUUUGACUUUAUUCUCAUAACUCUGGGGGGGGGGGUUCCUAAUAUAAGAUUAAGAUUACCAUCACACUGCAUGGCAUGUACCACAGGAUAGGGUGAAAAGAAGUACUCCUCCCAUUGCGUGUGGAAGUGGUAAGUGGUUUUGCCAUCUCUGUUCUUCUUCUUCCCCACUCCAUUUUAAACCACUUCUUCAGUUUAGAAUACAGUAAAUUGGUGGAUAACUAGUUAGCUCGCUAGCUUGCUAAUGGUUAAAGCUAUGGCCGUCUUUUGUGUCCCUGCAGUGAUCCCGUAGCCCGCACCUUACAGUUAAGCAAUGUGGUGUUCCUGUCUAGAGGGCUCUAAUAAUGGUAAAGAUUGUAUUUAGGAAGUCAUAAGCAGGUUUUCUGUGCUCUACAAAAAUGUUCCAUUUAUGAAUAUUGAAUCCUACUUUGCAGAAAUGUACUUAAACGUAUCGCGGUUGGGUCCGGAACCAGUUAACUGCGGCAAACGCUGAUGACGGUUUUGUAAUGUUAUUCUCGUGACUUCUUCCAUAACUUGAUUAAGGAAAAAAUAACUUCUUAAAAAUGUUCUUGUGACAAUUAGAAAUAUUUUCUUGCCAUAAAACAACUUUCUUCUCAGACCUUUACAAGUUUAUUCACAUUUUCCAACUUUUUUUUCAAAUCCGACUUUAGUCUCUGACUGUUUUUGUCUUAUAAAAAAAAUAUAUUUUCAUCAUCUACUACUCCUUUACAGCAAAAAAAAAAAAAAACCCGCAACUUUAAUUGUACAAUUUCCUUUUAUUCUUAAAGCUUUCUGACUUUAUUCUAGUACUACAACUUUACUCAUGACUUUAGGACUUUUUUUCAAAAUCUGAAUUUUUUUUUUUGUUCUCUUAAAUAAACAAGGACACUGUUUUUGUCAUCGAAUUGUAAGAAAUGACAGAAGAAGCAGGGAGAAAGUAAAGUAUUUCAGUGUAUUGUUUCAGGAUAGUACAACAGCCAUGAGUGAAGACAGAAUGGACAUCAUUGAUACUGCUUACUACUGGUGCUGGUGCGAAGAUACUGGUUAUCACUGGUACAAGGAACACCCGUCUUCUAAUUAUUGCCACUUCAUCCAAUUCGGCUUUUUUUUUAACAUCUCUUUGGCAAAUGUGAGGGAGAUUUGCACCUUGAAUUGCAUCCUUACAGCAGUAGUAAUUCAAGUCAAGCUACCUGCUACAUGUUCAUUAUUUAACAUACAAUAUGUGACUUUCCGCACGAUUUCAAUAGAAUGAACGACAACACGCGGACAUAGAAAAGAUUCAUGACGGCAUGAUACCUCCUUGCAAUGCAAAAUGCACACAAACGAGUAAAAGUAGACGUUUUUGUUCUUCCGAGAUAUGUCAUCACUUCAAAUAAAAGAGAUGCAGUGACAAUAGUGAUUUUUUUUUUUUACACAAAAAAGUGCUUUAUCGCCAUCCCUUACCUCAUACCUGUUUAAAAAAUAAAGUCUUAAUUGUCUGGCUACCAAAAUAAGAGUUUGUAACAGUCUUUAAAACAAUGUUAAGCAGCCAAUUAAAAGAAGCACUGAUCAUUUAUAGUCUUAAUUGUUUCAUGUUGAACAAAUGAGUGACCAAUGUGAAGGUUGUUGUUUACGGGGACAUUCUGGGGUCCUUUCUUGAUCAGCAGCAAAUUAUAAAAAAAAAACACCAAAAUAAACUGUGCAAAUCACCACGAGGCACUGUCUCAUAAAGGGUCACCACCACCAGUCAUGGGACUGAAAAAUAAAACCUCUGGAAAACAUCACAGA